RNAcentral lists this ribosomal RNA (460 nucleotides) under uncultured bacterium. RNAcentral's name for it is "bacterial SSU rRNA". It matches the Rfam family "Bacterial small subunit ribosomal RNA", at positions 28 to 485 of the family's 1533-position model. The record is from RNAcentral.
GAUGAACGCUGGCGGCGUGCCUAAUACAUGCAAGUCGAACGCUUCACUUCGGUGAAGAGUGGCGAACGGGUGAGUAAUACAUAAGUAACCUGGCAUCUACAGGGGGAUAACUGAUGGAAACGUCAGCUAAGACCGCAUAGGUGUAGAGAUCGCAUGAACUCUAUAUGAAAAGUGCUACGGGACUGGUAGAUGAUGGACUUAUGGCGCAUUAGCUUGUUGGUAGGGUAACGGCCUACCAAGGCGACGAUGCGUAGCCGACCUGAGAGGGUGACCGGCCACACUGGGACUGAGACACGGCCCAGACUCCUACGGGAGGCAGCAGUAGGGAAUUUUCGGCAAUGGGGGAAACCCUGACCGAGCAACGCCGCGUGAAGGAAGAAGUAAUUCGUUAUGUAAACUUCUGUCAUAGAGGAAGAACGGUGGAUAUAGGGAAUGAUAUCCAAGUGACGGUACUCUAUAA